RNAcentral lists this long non-coding RNA (320 nucleotides) under Sus scrofa (pig). RNAcentral's name for it is "lncRNA (ENSSSCG00015070963.1)". Lineage: Eukaryota; Metazoa; Chordata; Mammalia; Artiodactyla; Suidae. The record is from RNAcentral.
GAGAGUGCAUGUCCAUCAAGGUCACGCUUGAGACUAGCAGAGGCGAAACCAGCGGGAAGACGACUUCGCCACCAAGGGCGGGCGGGCCUGCUGGGAUACUCCGGAUUCCUGGAUUCCAGGUAAAUCAGAGGAACAAACCUGAACAGAAAUAUACAGGAAGUGAUGUGAUGCUGAAGCUUAACGCUUAUUUCAGAAGUCUGGUAUCUGGUGCUCUUAACAGCAAAAACUAUAUUAUUUGCAAAAUCACCACGCUUUUACUUGUAUUAUAUAGUAAUUUUUAAAAAAAUAAAUAUUGACAAUUUGUUCUUGAAAGCCUGAAU